GAUGAACGCUGGCGGCGUGCCUAAUACAUGCAAGUCGAGCGAACAGACGAGGAGCUUGCUCCUCUGACGUUAGCGGCGGACGGGGGAGUAACACGUGGAUAACCUACCUAUAAGACUGGGAUAACUUCGGGAAACCGGAGCUAAUACCGGAUAAUAUAUUGAACCGCAUGGUUCAAUAGUGAAAGACGGUUUUGUUGUCACUUAUAGAUGGAUCCGCGCCGCAUUAGCUAGUUGGUAAGGUAACGGCUUACCAAGGCAACGAUGCGUAGCCGACCUGAGAGGGUGAUCGGCCACACUGGAACUGAGACACGGUCCAGACUCCUACGGGAGGCAGCAGUAGGGAAUCUUCCGCAAUGGGCGAAAGCUUGACGGGGCAACGCCGCGUGAGUGAUGAAGGUCUUCGGAUCGUAAAACUCUGUUAUUAGGGAAGAACAAAUGUGUAAGUAACUAUGCACGUCUUGACGGUACCUAAUCAGAAAGCCACGGCUAACUACGUG
Molecule: ribosomal RNA, 497 nt
Filed under: uncultured bacterium
Lineage: Bacteria
Description: partial 16S ribosomal RNA
Rfam family: Bacterial small subunit ribosomal RNA
Source: RNAcentral